AUUAAUUACUCUCAGUGUGUUUGUCUCCUUGGUGAAGGUGAAGUCUUUUACUUCCUGUUUCACACUCGUUCAGAUCAAGAUCCUUCUUCAGAACGAACGAACAUUAUUCCACCGCUCUGGAAACUGAAACACGUGAUGAUGAUUCGACCACGCCAGCGGGGCGAGACACUUAACCGUUUCUGUUUCCAUGGCGAUGUGCUCCCAGGCUCCCGCCCUGUCGACAUCCCAUUGCUCAUUGCCGUGGCGACCCUUAUCCAGAGAUAAAUCAUUCAGCGGCGGCUCGCGGACACGACAUUAACUAGAUUCUGUCAUCUGGCUGAACACGACGAGCGGCGGCGUCCGCCGGCCACGACCCGGAGAGCAGAGCCAAUCACAGCAGCAGGCGGGACACAAAUCAUCAUCAUCAUCAUCAUCAUCAUCAUCAUCAUCAUCAUCACAGGAGGAAAGAGUUCAGUGAACUGCAGAAACACCGUUGUGACCGUGAGGUGAAGACGACGCUCUCACUUCACUUCUCUCAGCAGAUUCGACUCAGACGUCAGGCGACAUCAGGCGGCGACGGAGCGAAACAAGAGACGACUCGGACUUUAUUUUCACUGGUUCUCUGGAUUUGAUUGGAUGAAACAGUUCUGAUCGUCGCAGCUCAGACUGGAGUGAAUGUGAGAACAGAACCAAUCAGAACCAGGUCAGAAACCGGAGCUUCCAGAGGGAAACUCACAGCUGGUUUGUGUUGAGGGCGGAGUCGAGUCCAUCCAGGGGAACCAGGACAAACAGACCCUGACUUCAGCCCUUUAAACAGAUGCAUGUGUAUGUUUGUUUGAAACUCCCAGCAUGCAUUGCAGUCUUACCUGAGCAGGAUGAGUUUCACCUUGGAGGCGGCGCUCUUGAUGAUGGCAGAGGCGUUCUGGUGACUCCGCCCAUAAAGAAUCUGGUUGUUGAUCUGUCAAACACAGAGACACACACAUAUAUCGUGAUAUAAUAUGAUAAAAUAUGAUAUAUAAUCGUAUAUAAUAAUGGAAGUGAACGUUAUACAACAGGUAACAUGGUCUUCACACCUCCAGCAGCUCGUCUCCAACUCGGAUGCGUCCGUCCCGGGCCGCCGCUCCUCCGGGGUGG
Scophthalmus maximus (turbot) is the source of this 1113-nucleotide long non-coding RNA. RefSeq lists it as uncharacterized. The record is from RefSeq and is a predicted model, not a curated record. NCBI's taxonomy places the organism in Eukaryota, Metazoa, Chordata, Actinopteri, Pleuronectiformes, Scophthalmidae. The transcript is spliced from 3 exons.